CGGUGGAGUGAUCUGUCUGGUUAAUUCCGAUAACGAACGAGACCUUGGCCUGCUAAUUAGGUGUCAGUUACUUCGGUUUCGGGCACCUGCUUAGAGGGACUGCGUAAGUCUACUACGAGGAAGCUCAAGGCUACAACA
Molecule: ribosomal RNA, 138 nt
Filed under: uncultured eukaryote
Lineage: Eukaryota
Description: partial 18S ribosomal RNA
Rfam family: Eukaryotic small subunit ribosomal RNA
Source: RNAcentral